Molecule: ribosomal RNA, 551 nt
Filed under: Anaplasma platys
Lineage: Bacteria; Pseudomonadati; Pseudomonadota; Alphaproteobacteria; Rickettsiales; Anaplasmataceae
Description: bacterial SSU rRNA
Rfam family: Bacterial small subunit ribosomal RNA
Source: RNAcentral
UCUCGUAGCUUGCUAUGAGAACGGUUAGUGGCAGACGGGUGAGUAAUGCAUAGGAAUCUACCUAGUAGUAUGGGAUAGCCACUAGAAAUGGUGGGUAAUACUGUAUAAUCCCUGCGGGGGAAAGAUUUAUCGCUAUUAGAUGAGCCUAUGUUAGAUUAGCUAGUUGGUAGGGUAAAGGCCUACCAAGGCAGUGAUCUAUAGCUGGUCUGAGAGGAUGAUCAGCCACACUGGAACUGAGAUACGGUCCAGACUCCUACGGGAGGCAGCAGUGGGGAAUAUUGGACAAUGGGCGCAAGCCUGAUCCAGCUAUGCCGCGUGAGUGAGGAAGGCCUUAGGGUUGUAAAACUCUUUCAGUGGGGAAGAUAAUGACGGUACCCACAGAAGAAGUCCCGGCAAACUCCGUGCCAGCAGCCGCGGUAAUACGGAGGGGGCAAGCGUUGUUCGGAAUUAUUGGGCGUAAAGGGCAUGUAGGCGGUUCGGUAAGUUAAAGGUGAAAUGCCAGGGCUUAACCCUGGAGCUGCUUUUAAUACUGCCAGACUGGAGUCCGGGAG